GUUGGUUGUACUUCAUGCUUAAAGUGUGUUUUGUGCAUAUAUGAAGUGUACAUGUGGGUAUUUUUGUUGUAUUUUGUUUCUGCCCUGCCACGUUGUUGCUCUGUACCACGUGUCCACUACUGUCUUAACCAGGCUCUCUGUAUCACUCUUCUUUCAUCUCCAGCUCUGCCACCAUACCACAAACUUGCAGCAGAUCCCCAAAUCUAAAACAACCUUCACUUCUUUCAUCAAGCCAAACCCUAAUCUCAUCAACUAUUCUCUAUUAAUUAUAGACAGAGAAAGAGAAGAGUGAUGGAGAUGGUGAAGGUGGGUCCGCUAAUCUGGUCCGGCGAAUAAGGCUAACACGAUGGUAGUGCUCUGAUUUCGUUGGUGUUCUUCUAGCUGUUGGAAGAGUCUGCCAUCCACGUCUCCGUCGUGCCUCCCUUCGGUACCGGCAGAUAAGCAUGUUUAUUGAGGUGUUAUAAGAAGGUAUGUCGGAAGAGUUUGGUCUCGGCGCCUCCGUCGUGUUGUCUUUCUCUGAGUUUAUGGGUUUUGCAAUCGAUCGGUUUAUAAGCAGAAAAAAUGUGAAUUUAGCUAAUGUCGUGGAAGGAGCUAAGGCGAUGGGCUUUGUCUGGGUUAAACACCAGGAAAAGGACAGGAGCAUGACUUGGAAUUAAUGGCGUAGCUUCAAUGUUUUUAGGUAAUUCUGUUCUGGUUGUAUCACUAAUAAUGAUGUACCGUUUGGGAGGCUCAUAACUAAUGGUGCCUUCUAACUCCUUGUAUAACUAUAAUUUCCAACAUGUUUAUGCAAUAUGGUGUUGUACUCUUUGCUGACUUGCUUAUCUGUGCUCUUUGUUGUUGUUCCUUAAGUUUGUUGUUUUGUAUAUGUUUGGUGUUAUGACACAAGUCCUCUUCCUUUUCUUAAAACCCCCUUCUGUCUUGUCUCUCAUGUCCUUAUCCAUUCCUCUGUGGUUCUCCCCCUUCUCCAACGAAGAAGCCGACGGCGGUAGUGAUGGCCGGCCAUGAUGAAGACGAUGGUGUUUCUUUUGUUGAGAAGUGACGGUGGUAGUGAUGGCCGGCAAGAUGAUGGUGUUUCUUUUGUUGAGAAGUGACGGUGGAGACAAAGAUUAGGGUUCCGUGAUGUCUUCUGGUACAGUUCCGACCAAACUCAAGUAAGGUUCGAUUCUAUUGCAUGUUUCAGAAGUUACAAAAAUAGCUUGCACUUUCCACCAGUUUGUCGUUUUACAGAAGUUACGAAAAUCAUAUAAACGUAAUUGGUAAUUUGUUGUUAAUUUUGUUUUGGCUAAGUUUAUAGGGUUUUUGCAGGUUUUUUUCUACUGUAGGAUUUGUUGGAGGUAAGUGUGUUCUUAUUUUGUUUCUCAAUUUAUAGUUUGUUUUAUGAAUUGUACC
Helianthus annuus (common sunflower) is the source of this 1389-nucleotide long non-coding RNA. RefSeq lists it as uncharacterized. NCBI's taxonomy places the organism in Eukaryota, Viridiplantae, Streptophyta, Magnoliopsida, Asterales, Asteraceae. The record is from RefSeq and is a predicted model, not a curated record. The transcript is spliced from 3 exons.